RNAcentral lists this long non-coding RNA (313 nucleotides) under Macaca fascicularis (crab-eating macaque). RNAcentral describes it as "lncRNA (ENSMFAG00000065786.1)". The record is from RNAcentral. Lineage: Eukaryota; Metazoa; Chordata; Mammalia; Primates; Cercopithecidae.
AUGGAGUGGAGGGAUCGGGAAGGAGAGGAGGAAGGAAUGGAAGAUGGAGGGAAGGAGGGACAUGGAGGGGGGACCCCGGAGGGACUGGAGGAAACUGAGGGGAAGGGACCUGAGGGCUGGACCGGACCCCUUCGGAAAGGACAGGCUGUGGGAGGAGCUGCAGGACUGAGGCACAGAGGCCCAGGGCCCACGGAGGGGCCCAGCCUUGACUUGGCUCCCUGGGAUCCCAGGACUGCACGCCCUUUCCGCACCACCUGAGUGAGCACCGCCCCCUCACAGAGACCUUUUUGCCCCUGGGCCAGGCAGGGCAGGC